UUCCGGUUGAUCCUGCCGGACCCGACUGCUAUCAGAGUGGGACUAAGCCAUGCGAGUCGACGUAGCAAUGCGUGGCGAACGGCUCAGUAACACGUAGUCAACAUACCCAGGGGACGUGGAUAACCUCGGGAAACUGAGAAUAAACCACGAUAGGUCACGAUUUCUGGAAUGGAUCAUGGCAUAAAUCUACAUGGCCCCUGGAUUGGACUGCGGCCGAUCAGGCAGUUGGUGAGGUAAUGGCCCACCAAACCUAUAACCGGUACGGGCUCUGAGAGGAGAAGCCCGGAGAUGGGCACUGAGACAAGGGCCCAGGCCCUAUGGGGCGCAGCAGGCGCGAAACCUCUGCAAUAGGCGAAAGCCUGACAGGGUUACUCUGAGUGAUUUCCGCUUAGGGGAUCUUUUGGCACCUCUAAAAAUGGUGCAGAAUAAGGGGUGGGCAAGUCUGGUGUCAGCCGCCGCGGUAAUACCAGCACCCCGAGUGGUCGGGACGAUUAUUGGGCCUAAAGCAUCCGUAGCCGGUUCUGCAAGUCUUCCGUUAAAUCCAGCCGCUCAACGGAUGGGCCGCGGAGGAUACUAUAGGACUAGGAGGCGGGAGAGGCAAGCGGUACUCAGUGGGUAGGGGUAAAAUCCUUUGAUCCAUUGAAGACCACCAGUGGCGAAGGCGGCUUGCCAGAACGCGCUCGACGGUGAGGGAUGAAAGCUGGGGGAGCAAACCGGAUUAGAUACCCGGGUAGUCCCAG
RNAcentral lists this ribosomal RNA (740 nucleotides) under uncultured archaeon. RNAcentral's name for it is "bacterial SSU rRNA". It matches the Rfam family "Archaeal small subunit ribosomal RNA", at positions 1 to 750 of the family's 1478-position model. The record is from RNAcentral.